CUUUGUACUGUGAACUGCGAAUGGCUCAUUAAAUCAGUUAUCGUUUAUUUGAUAGUACCCUACUACAUGGAUACCUGUGGUAAUUCUAGAGCUAAUACAUGCGCAAAACCCCGACUUCGGAAGGGGUGUAUUUAUUAGAUAAAAAACCAAUGCCCUUCGGGGCUCCUUGGUGAUUCAUAAUAACUUAACGAAUCGCAUGGCCUUGCGCCGGCGAUGGUUCAUUCAAAUUUCUGCCCUAUCAACUUUCGAUGGUAGGAUAGUGGCCUACCAUGGUGGCAACGGGUAACGGGGAAUUAGGGUUCGAUUCCGGAGAGGGAGCCUGAGAAACGGCUACCACAUCCAAGGAAGGCAGCAGGCGCGCAAAUUACCCAAUCCCGAUCCGGGGGAGGUAGUGACAAUAAAUACUGAUAUAGGGCUCUUUUGGGUCUUAUAAUUGGAAUGAGUACAAUCUAAAUCUCUUAACGAGGAACAAUUGGAGGGCAAGUCUGGUGCCAGCAGCCGCGGUAAUUCCAGCUCCAAUAGCGUAUAUUAAAGUUGUUGCAGUUAAAAAGCUCGUAGUUGAACCUUGGGCCCGUCCUGCCGGUCCGCCUCACCGCGAGUACUGGUCCGGAUGGGUCUUUCUUUCUGGGGAAUCCCAUGGCCUUCACUGGCUGUGGCGGGGAACCAGGACUUUUACUGUGAAAAAAUUAGAGUGUUCAAAGCAGGCCUUUGCUCGGAUACAUUAGCAUGGAAUAAUAAAAUAGGACGUGUGGUUCUAUUUUGUUGGUUUCUAGGACCGCCGUAAUGAUUAAUAGGGAUAGUCGGGGGCGUCAGUAUUCAGCUGUCAGAGGUGAAAUUCUUGGAUUUGCUGAAGACUAACUACUGCGAAAGCAUUCGCCAAGGAUGUUUUCAUUAAUCAGGGAACGAAAGUUAGGGGAUCGAAAACGAUCAGAUACCGUUGUAGUCUUAACCAUAAACUAUGCCGACUAGGGAUCGGGCGGUGUUUCUAUGAUGACCCGCUCGGCACCUUACGAGAAAUCAAA
This 1022-nucleotide ribosomal RNA is filed under the name Penicillium sp. DsppF10. Its description in RNAcentral is "SSU rRNA". It matches the Rfam family "Eukaryotic small subunit ribosomal RNA", at positions 72 to 1102 of the family's 1831-position model. Lineage: Eukaryota; Fungi; Ascomycota; Eurotiomycetes; Eurotiales; Aspergillaceae. The record is from RNAcentral.